RNAcentral lists this transfer RNA (70 nucleotides) under Marmota monax (woodchuck). It matches the Rfam family "tRNA". Rfam says of the family: Transfer RNA (tRNA) molecules are approximately 80 nucleotides in length. Their secondary structure includes four short double-helical elements and three loops (D, anti-codon, and T loops). Lineage: Eukaryota; Metazoa; Chordata; Mammalia; Rodentia; Sciuridae. The record is from Rfam by way of RNAcentral.
GUGGUUGUGGCUCAGUGGUAGAGCGCUCCCUCACAUGUGCCAGAUCCUGGGUUCGAUCCUCAGCACCACA